Molecule: Y RNA, 122 nt
Filed under: Otolemur garnettii (small-eared galago)
Lineage: Eukaryota; Metazoa; Chordata; Mammalia; Primates; Galagidae
Rfam family: Y RNA
About the family: Y RNAs are components of the Ro ribonucleoprotein particle (Ro RNP), in association with Ro60 and La proteins. The Y RNAs and Ro60 and La proteins are well conserved, but the function of the Ro RNP is not known.
Source: Rfam by way of RNAcentral
GGCUGGUCUGCAGGCAGUGAGUUACCUCAUCUGACUGUUCACAAGUCAGUGAUAGAUUAAACUAAUUGAACUCGAUAUUCUAACUUUCCUCCUUUCUCACAAUUGCACUUGCCUAGUCUUUA